CUAAGAAUCUUGCGCAAUGAGCGAAAGCUUGACGCAGCAACGCCGCGUGGAGGACGAAGGCCUUCGGGUCGUAAACUCCUUUUGCGAGGGAAGAAGAUCUGACGGUACCUCGCGAAUAAGCCACGGCUAACUACGUGCCAGCAGCCGCGGUAAUACGUAGGUGGCGAGCGUUGUCCGGAUUUAUUGGGCGUAAAGCGCCCGCAGGCGGCCUGUUAAGUUCAAGGUGAAAUCUCCCGGCUCAACUGGGAGGGUGCCUCGAAAACUGGCAGGCUUGAGGCAGGGAGAGGGAUGCAGAAUUCCUGGUGUAGCGGUGAAAUGCGUAGAUAUCAGGAGGAAUACCAGUGGCGAAGGCGGCAUCCUGGCCCUGUCCUGACGCUCAGGGGCGAAAGCGUGGGGAGCAAACCGG
RNAcentral lists this ribosomal RNA (406 nucleotides) under uncultured Chloroflexota bacterium. RNAcentral's name for it is "bacterial SSU rRNA". It matches the Rfam family "Bacterial small subunit ribosomal RNA", at positions 355 to 776 of the family's 1533-position model. Lineage: Bacteria; Bacillati; Chloroflexota. The record is from RNAcentral.